GCCCGCUUAGCUCAGUGGUAGAGCACACGCUUCACACGCGUGGGGCCGAAGGUUCGAGUCCUUCAGCGGGCA
RNAcentral lists this transfer RNA (72 nucleotides) under Acidobacteriota bacterium. RNAcentral describes it as "tRNA-Val". It matches the Rfam family "tRNA". From Rfam's summary of the family: Transfer RNA (tRNA) molecules are approximately 80 nucleotides in length. Their secondary structure includes four short double-helical elements and three loops (D, anti-codon, and T loops). Lineage: Bacteria; Pseudomonadati; Acidobacteriota. The record is from RNAcentral.